Molecule: ribosomal RNA, 207 nt
Filed under: Triticum aestivum (bread wheat)
Lineage: Eukaryota; Viridiplantae; Streptophyta; Magnoliopsida; Poales; Poaceae
Description: partial small subunit ribosomal RNA
Source: RNAcentral
AUGCAAUUCUGGUCGGUGGAGGGGGCGGAGGAGAUCCUGGGCAAGCGGGUGCGCGUCGACCGCCUCGACAGCCGGAUGCAAGAGCGCGGCCACACCAAAACCUUUGCCUGCUGGGUCUGGACCAACGACAUCGCCAACGUCCCCACCAAGCACACGUUGGGAGUGCUGCCGCGCGGUGCGGGCCGGGUCGAAGAGAUGCACUACUAG